RNAcentral lists this RNase P RNA (356 nucleotides) under Oscillospiraceae bacterium. RNAcentral describes it as "RNase P RNA component class A". It matches the Rfam family "Bacterial RNase P class A". From Rfam's summary of the family: Ribonuclease P (RNase P) is a ubiquitous endoribonuclease, found in archaea, bacteria and eukarya as well as chloroplasts and mitochondria. Its best characterised activity is the generation of mature 5'-ends of tRNAs by cleaving the 5'-leader elements of precursor-tRNAs. Cellular RNase Ps are ribonucleoproteins. The record is from RNAcentral. Lineage: Bacteria; Bacillati; Bacillota; Clostridia; Eubacteriales; Oscillospiraceae.
AAAGGCGGUUGGGCGGCCGCGGGGACAAAAUCCCUGAGGAAAGUCCGGGCUUUUUGAAAGACGGAUAGCGGCUAACUGCCGCCGAAGGCGACUUCAGGACGAGUGCAACAGAAACAGACCGCCGGCUUUGCCGGUAAGGGUGGAAAGGCGCGGUAAGAGCGCACCUCCGUGCACGGAAACGUGCGCGGGCUGUAAACUCUAUCCGAAGCAACAACGGAAGCUGCGCUUGCGCAAAAGACAAUCUUUCAUGUGCUUCCCAAUGGCUUGAGACGCGCGGCGACGCGCGUCCCAGAUAGAUGGCCGCCAUUCGCGCUUCGGCGCGGAUACAGAACCCGGCUUACAGACCGCCUUUUUAA